GGAAUCUUCCACAAUGGACGAAAGUCUGAUGGAGCAACGCCGCGUGAGUGAUGAAGGGUUUCGGCUCGUAAAACUCUGUUGUUGGAGAAGAACGGGUGUCAGAGUAACUGUUGACAUCGUGACGGUAUCCAACCAGAAAGCCACGGCUAACUACGUGCCAGCAGCCGCGGUAAUACGUAGGUGGCAAGCGUUGUCCGGAUUUAUUGGGCGUAAAGCGAGCGCAGGCGGUUUUUUAGGUCUGAUGUGAAAGCCUUCGGCUUAACCGGAGAAGUGCAUCGGAAACCGGGAGACUUGAGUGCAGAAGAGGACAGUGGAACUCCAUGUGUAGCGGUGAAAUGCGUAGAUAUAUGGAAGAACACCAGUGGCGAAGGCGGCUGUCUGGUCUGCAAACUGACGCUGAGGCUCGAAAGCAUGGGUAGCGAACAGGAUUAGAUACCCUGGUAGUCCAUGCCGUAAAACGAUGAGUGC
RNAcentral lists this ribosomal RNA (468 nucleotides) under uncultured bacterium. RNAcentral describes it as "partial 16S ribosomal RNA". It matches the Rfam family "Bacterial small subunit ribosomal RNA", at positions 358 to 816 of the family's 1533-position model. The record is from RNAcentral.